Long non-coding RNA from Oncorhynchus tshawytscha (Chinook salmon), 4986 nucleotides. Lineage: Eukaryota; Metazoa; Chordata; Actinopteri; Salmoniformes; Salmonidae. The record is from Ensembl.
CCCUCCCUCCCUCCCUCCCUCCAUCUCUGUGACCUUUCUCUUCCACCUCCUUACCCGUCUCCCUCACACUCAGCAAGACAACACAUUUAGAUAACGUUAUAGCUGGCUAGAGCAUUACUAGAUUUGCUGACACUUUGAGCUAAUGUCCGAUGUGGACGGUCAGCACACUAGCCCAGCGUUCGGACUGGAGUCUGAGGGUCCGUUGCUUCUGCUGUAGCAUUAUCGUAUCAGGGAUAUGCGUGGAAUGAUCAGGGAUUGCUUCUAUCUCAUCCUACAUUGCCAUUUUGCCACCUGGCUGUUGUGAAUGGGAAUAGCCAUAGAAAUAGGUAGAGAGCCCACCUCCUAUCUAUAGCCAUGGCUUCUUCUGUGAUAGCAUGGGCAGUGCCAUUGCCACUCUAUCCAACUAUGUGGGAUCUCUAUGGGGAAAAGCCAGUCGAGUGACUUUUGUCAUAAUAAGCUACAGUAGAGGGAGGGAGGGAGGGAGAGAGGGAGAGAGGGAGAGAGGGAGGGAGGAGAGAGAGAGAGAGAGAGAGAGAGAGAGAGAGAGAGAGAGAGAGAGCGAGAGAGAGAGAGAGAGAGAGAGAGGUCUGCUGACCAGACAUAUAUGUGUGUCUGUCACAGUGGAAGCUGCUGAGGGGAGGAUGGCUCAUGAUAAUGGCUGGAUAGGAGUGAGUGGAAGGGCAUCAAACACAUGGAAACCAUGGAAACCAUGUAUUUGGUGUAUGUGAUACCGUUCCACUGAUUCCACUCCAGCCAUUCCCACAAGCCUGUCCUCCCCAAUUAAGAUGCCACCAACCUCCUGUGGUCUGUCACAAAAUGAGGUGUGUUGGUGUCAGUCAGUCACAAGGCAUUCACAUGGCUCGCUCACUUGUUUCAGGGAGGAGUUUCCAUUUCCUAGGUAAUCCCAAUCUUUACAUAACCUUUGACCUUUCAACUGAUGAGUUGGAACCAGGAAUGUCUGUCUGCUCCACAGAUCCUAACCCAGUGAUAAGAAGUGGUUGUAAAGACAUAUUUUCAAGCACUCUUCUUCACUGGGGAGGAUGUAGUUCUCACUGUAAGUUUACAACUGGUCCUGUAUUUACUUCUAUCUAUCUAUCACCCUGUCCAAGGUGUACAAAUUGUGUGAUCGCAUGAAAAGGCUGCAUGAGUUAUAUAGAAGGUGGAAUAUAUACUAUAGCUUUGACCAACCAUGAGAACUGUUGUUGACUAGCCCCUAUAUGAGACAUCCAACAGACUGAUGGAGGUGUUUGAUGGCUUGUCCUACUCUCUUUGUCUACAGAAAUCUAUUAUAUUUUAGAACACAACGCACUAGAACUCGUUGCAUCUGUGUGCAGUUACAGUGUUCUGCCACCGGAUGUCAGUGACGAGCCGCUCUGUUCUACUUGCUUUGGACGACCCUGGCCCUGUCUGAAUACCCAUUCUAGUGUACGUACUUAAACUGCGUAAUAUGUACUCAUCGUCGCGUACCAGUGAUAGAAAAAGUACUUAAUUGUCACACUUGAGUAAAAGUAUAAGGUACCUUAAUAGAAAAUGUGAAAAUCACUCAGUAAAAUACUACUUUUGUAAAAGUCUAAAAGUAUUUGGUUUUAAAUAUACUUAAGUACCAAAAGUAAAUGUAAUUGCUAAAAUAUAGUAAGUAUGAAAAGUAAAAGUCUAAAUAAUUUCAAAUUCCUUACAUUAAGCAAACCAGACGACACCAUUUAAAUGAUUUAUUUACAGAUAGUCAGGGGCACAUAGGCUGAGUGUAGGUGGAUUUUUCCAAAUUCAACAGACAUUCACGACAUUAACCAACCUGAUAAUAGCUCAUUUACCAUUUGAAUAAAUUCUCUAUACCAUGAAAAGAAUAGGAAUGGAGUCAGGCUGGUUACAGACAGACUAUCACAUUCCACGUCUAGUAUAUCCCAUCUGUCCUAUUUAAACAGGACUGAAGACAGAAACACAUUAUUUCUUCAAUUUCAACAUAUUUCUAGUGAAACCAAAGUGCCGUAACAUAAAUCAAUUCUAUCAAAUAGCCUAGUACACACAGCAACACUUGUAAUAUGUUCACAUCAAAAAGGCUACUGCACAGAAACACGUGGACAAAAUUCAGAACCGCUGAACAGCAACAUAAUGAACUAAAGCGCCGACCAAUAGGAACGAGAUCAGAAUGACUGCUAAGGCUUGAUCCGUAAAUUAAAUAAUGAAAUAGGUAGCCUAACCUACAGAUCUAAAACAAUCCCCAUCUUAAAAUCAAAAGGCCUGAUUAACAUAACAGCAAUAACGCAGCCACAUCCCGAGUCUCGGGUGCUGACUCGCUAUUUGGCAUCUUCCCAAUUAAGUAGCCUAGUUUUGUUGUUUGGCUACUUGAAGUGUACUUGGGCCUAUCACUGGCAGCUCUCCUCUUCUAAUGGAUUGUGGAAGUGUGCAUCGAAUUCUACUAGAUGAAGACCCGAAAUGGGACAAACAUCCUGGUAUUGAGCUCGCCUUAGGACACCUGCGUUACCGUUUGACAGGUGUACCGCCCCAGUCAAACUCCCCACCUGCCACUGUCCCCGGAGCGGGUCAACCAUACUCGAUUUUCAGACAAACGCACAUAGGCUACUAUAAAAUACAUUUUCACAUACUGAGAAUGCCUCAUGUGCGAUUAAGUAGUGUCCCGCUAUUUGUUGAUGUCUGUAGGUAACUCCUCCCCAUAUCUAACUGAUCAGCUGUUGUCAAAACCGAAAUGAGUAUGACAUCCUGGCACUUCGUUUUUCCAAAUGUCGCAUACUAUUAAACUUUUUUUCCACAAACGGUCUACUAUGGGUAUUCGGACAAAACCUCAUGUCUCUCCACAUCUCUGCUCUUUCUCCUGUACCAGUAGUGGGGGGUACUCUCUCCUGUACCAGUAGUGGAGGGAACUCUCUCCUGUACCAGUAGUGGAGGGAACUCUCUCCUGUACCAGUAGUGGGGGAACUCUCUCUCCUGUACCAGUAGGGGGGAACUCUCUCCUGUACCAGUAGUGGAGGGAACUCUCUCCUGUACCAGUAGUGGGGGAACUCUCUCCUGUACCAGUAGUGGGGGAACUCUCUCCUGUACCAGUAGUGGAGGGAACUCUCUUCUGUACCAGUAGUGGGGGAACUCUCUCCUGUACCAGUAGUGGAGGGAACUCUCUCCUGUACCAGUAGUGGAGGGAACUCUCUCCUGUACCAGUAGGGGGUACUCUCUCCUGUACCAGUAGUGGGGGAACUCUCUCCUGUACCAGUAGUGGGGAACUCUCUCUCCUGUACCAGUAGUGGGGGGAACUCUCUCCUGUACCAGUAGUGGGGGAACUCUCUCCUGUACCAGUAGUGGAGGGAACUUUCUCUCCUGUACCAGUAGUGGGGGAACUCUCUCCUGUACCAGUAGUGGAGGGAACUCUCUCCUGUACCAGUAGUGGAGGGAACUCUCUCUCCUGUACCAGUAGUGGGGAACUCUCUCUCCUGUACCAGUAGUGGAGGGAACUUUCUCUCCUGUACCAGUAGUGGAGGGAACUCUCUCUCCUUUACCAGUAGUGGGGAACUCUCUCUCCUGUACUAGUAGUGGGGGAACUCUCUCUCCUGUACCAGUAGUGGGGGUACUCUCUCCUGUACCAGUAGUGGGGCUACUCUCUCUCCUGUACCAGUAGUGGGGGUACUCUCUCCUGUACCAGUAGUGGAGGGAACUCUCUCUCCUGUACCAGUAGUGGGGGAACUCUCUCUCCUGUACCAGUAGUGGGGGAACUCUCUCCUGUACCAGUAGUGGGGGAACUCUCUCUCCUGUACCAGUAGUGGGGGAACUCUCUCCUGUACCAGUAGUGGGGGAACUCUCUCUCCUGUACCAGUAGUGGAGGGAACUCUCUCCUGUACCAGUAGUGGGGGGAACUCUCUCUCCUGUACCAGUAGUGGGGGGAACUCUCUCUCCUGUACCAGUAGUGGAGGGAACUCUCUCCUGUACCAGUAGUGGGGGAACUCUCUCUCCUGUACCAGUAGUGGAGGGAACUCUCUCCUGUACCAGUAGUGGGGGGAACUCUCUCCUGUACUAGUAGUGGGGGGAACUCUCUCUCCUGUACCAGUAGUGGAGGGAACUCUCUCCUGUACCAGUAGUGGGGGGAACUCUCUCCUGUACCAGUAGUGAAGGGAACUCUCUCUCCCCUCCUCUCUCUUCUUCUUUUGUAGAAUGUUAAGGAAUAUAUUUUAAUGUUUUUAUUUAAGGAAGGUGUGCAUACUUUUAAAUGUAUUACUUUCAAUUCAAUUGAUUGUUUUUCUUUUUUUCCUGAAUAGAUAUGCAACACUGAAAGGUUAGAGGACAGCUUUGGCUUAUUGUUUUGACAGUCUGACAUUUUUAUAUCAUUUCAUGUAGGCUAUAUAGUGUUGCCUUGGCCUGUUAUUCUUACAAGCACACUGAUACACACACACACACACACACACACACACACACACACACACACACACACACACACACACACACACACACACACACACACACACACACACACACACACACACACAUGCAUGGGGUACAUGUGGUCUGUGACUACAGUGUGGUUGUGUGUGUGUGUGUGUAUGAGUGUAAGGAAUGUAUAAUGAUAGACCCAACCAGACUCUGGAGACACUAGAUGCGUCCCAAAAAGGAACCCCAGUCACUAUAUAGCUCCCUACGUUUGACCUGGACACAUAGUUCUUCCUAGUGCACUAUGUAGCAAAUAAGGUUCCUUUUAGGGACGUGGACACUAUCUGUGUUAUUUUCCACCAAUGUUAUUGUUUUAAUGAGGAGUCUAUUGUCUUCGUGUUCUUUUCGGAUGAUAAGUCUUCCUUUUGAAUAACCAUCCAUAUCACAUGGGAACACUACAGCUAAUGAUGUCAUCAAGGCCUGACUGCACUAUGGUGAUGAUGUCAUAAUGCUGAGUUCCGUCUCCGUUGGCUGUUCUAAUCUGUUCAUACAGCAUUAGCUUUUUUGUUACUAUACCGAUUCAGUUGUUGACUUCAAAUAAACGUGCAUUUGGGUUAA